This 253-nucleotide ribosomal RNA is filed under the name uncultured bacterium. Its description in RNAcentral is "partial 16S ribosomal RNA". It matches the Rfam family "Bacterial small subunit ribosomal RNA", at positions 524 to 776 of the family's 1533-position model. The record is from RNAcentral.
UACGUAGGGGGCAAGCGUUGUCCGGAAUCAUUGGGCGUAAAGAGCGUGUAGGCGGCCCGAUAAGUCCGCUGUGAAAGUCCAGGGCUCAACCCUGGAAUGCCGGUGGAUACUGUCGGGCUCGAAUCCGGAAGAGGUGAGUGGAAUUCCUGGUGUAGCGGUGAAAUGCGCAGAUAUCAGGAGGAACACCGGUGGCGAAGGCGGCUUGCUGGGCCUUACCUGACGCUGAGGAGCGAAAGCGUGGGGAGCGAACAGG